UGUGCAAGUGAUGAUAAAAUAGACAGGGACAUCAGCACUCCCAUGUCGGAGUAUGAUGAUUUGCCUUUGGGAAUCUCUUUGAUGCACA
This is a small nucleolar RNA of Camellia sinensis, 88 nucleotides long. RefSeq annotates it as small nucleolar RNA R44/J54/Z268 family. The record is from RefSeq and is a predicted model, not a curated record. NCBI's taxonomy places the organism in Eukaryota, Viridiplantae, Streptophyta, Magnoliopsida, Ericales, Theaceae.